RNAcentral lists this unclassified non-coding RNA (3320 nucleotides) under Manduca sexta (tobacco hornworm). RNAcentral describes it as "cholinephosphotransferase 1, transcript variant X10". The record is from RNAcentral. Lineage: Eukaryota; Metazoa; Arthropoda; Insecta; Lepidoptera; Sphingidae.
UCUAUGAUUUAGUACCUAACUCGGAGUACACUGAUGUACGCGUGGCUAAAUGCUGUAAAUGCCGUUGCGUGACGACUUCUUGACAUUAAAAAGUAGUAAAUUGUUUAUGGUACUCAUGGAGGUGUGAUGUGAGUGUAGUGUUAAUAAUUUUCUCCUGAAAAUUUAGCGAAUAAUUUAAUAUUUAUACAGUAUAGUGUAAUGUCGUGACAGUGACAAAAAUGCAGUUCUACAAGGAAAGAAUACUCAACGCGGCGCAGUUAAAAAGACUAAGUGAACACAAAUACUCUUGUACCAGUGCCAGUAUAUUGGAUGCAUGGCUCCAGCCGUGGUGGUGCUGGCUGGUGUCUAAAACGCCGUUGUGGCUCGCACCGAAUCUCAUCACAAUAUUAGGUCUAAUUGUAAAUAUAGUCACCACACUUAUAUUAGUAUGGUACAGCCCAGACGCGCGGCAGGAUCCGCCACGAUGGGCGUGUGCGUUAUGCGCGCUAGGAGUAUUCAUUUACCAGAGUCUGGAUGCCAUAGAUGGCAAGCAGGCUCGUAGGACGGGGAGCCAGUCCCCUCUUGGAGAGCUGUUUGACCAUGGCUGUGACAGUAUAUCAACUGUGUUCAUUGCACUUGGUGCGUGCAUCGCUGUCAAGCUGGGCGAGUAUCCAACAUGGAUGUUCUUUCAGUGCUUCUGCGCAAUGACACUGUUCUACUGCGCGCACUGGCAGGCGUACGUGACUGGCACGCUCAAGAUGGGCCGGAUAGACGUAACGGAGGCGCAGUACUCCAUCAUCGGCAUACAUCUUGUCUCGGCCAUACUCGGCCCCAGCUUCUGGGCCACUCAGAUCCCGGUGCUCAACAUGCCGUUGAGCCUCCAGGCCAGCAUCAUGUGUAACACGGCACAGAUGUGCUUCGUCAUCAACUUUGUCACCACCUUCCAGGGGCGGGGCUGUGGCAAGAACGGAUCCACCAUCGCUUUGCCGAUAAAUAUCAGCAUCAAUCUGGUAUCGAACUACGCGGUCGUGUUUCUCACUCUGUAUCUAGUCGGCGGAUACAUUAGCGUUAUAAUGAAGGGUGGAGUGGGGAAAAACGGCUCCACCGUCGCAGGUACGAGCAUAUUAUCCCCAGUGAUCCCGUUCUCGCUAGUGGUGGUGCCGGCGUUCAUCAUCUUCCAAAAGAGCGAGUCCCAUGUGUACGAGAACCACCCGUCCUUGUACAUCAUGGCGUUUGGAAUGGUCGCUGCCAAAGUUACUAACAGAUUAGUGGUGGCUCACAUGACCAAGAGCGAGAUGGAGUAUUACGACUGGUCUCUACUGGGUCCGGCGAUGUUGUUCCUCAACCAGUACUUCAACAACGCGCUGCCCGAGUACUGGGUGCUGUGGCUGUGCACUAUAUGGGUGUGCGUGGACCUGGUUAGAUACUGCGGUCAGAUAUGCCUGGAGAUCUGUGAACACCUGAAGAUCCAGCUGUUCCGGAUUCCCUACCCGGCAGUGGGAGUCGCGCCCCCCAAGCCUCCCGCAGACAGAAACGGUGUUAGGUGCAGAGCGGUGUUCACAGCCACCACCGCGGCUUACCAGCGCCCGCCCGCGAUACUAGCCUUAUGAAUUAGUUGGUAGUGAGGCUUGCAACAUCUUAUAAAUUGGUAUUACAAGUGUAAACAUUCAUAUAGUAUGUCUGAUCGAUGAAAUUAUGUAGUAUGCAUUCGUGAAAUGUUAUUGCUAAAAACGAUUGGGGAUUUAAAUUGUUUAAAAAAUAUAAGUAUAUAAUAGUGUCUUAAAAGACCAGUAUCCAAAUAUUUUAAAUAGAAAACGCCUUAGAUGCGUACCUCUCAGUCCGCAGAUUACGAGCGUGCCGCCUAGAGGCCUGUAAUAUGGACCUAUACAGUAUGAAUGUUUAAACAUGAGUAUAAAUUUGGUACAGACACUUUGGUUGUAAAGUGCCACGCAGACCAAAUUCAUUAGUGACUGUGCCAAAAUUAUACCCACUGUUAUACCAAUUUCAUAGUUGUCAAAAAUGUAAUAUAUUUUCAAAAUUUGAAAUUGUUAAUUAUUGUAAAGAAUUACCAACAUCAAUAUUUGUUCUGCCCAUUUUAUUGAAGAUGUUGCAAGCCUGGGUAAGCGUAGUAAUAUUAACUUGCAAUGUAUUUACUUGUAAUAAAAUUAUUUUAACUCGCGCAAUUCUUUUAGUAUGUAUCUUAGCCAUAAUACAAAGAAAUCAAGAUUUCCUAAAAUAUUUCUAUUUGAUUUAUUUGUUAUACACAGUUAUUUAUUUGUCACGUAAAAAUUAUGCACCACGGGUGCUUUGUUUUUAUCACCUGUAUAUUAUGUUGCCCCAACGUCGAGAAACACCCAUCCCUAAAUACUAAAAAACAGUAUAUUUUUAUAUAAUUUUUCUUUGGUAAAUUCUUACUCCAUCAAAAAAAAAUUGUUUUCAAAUUCCGUUUUCUAGCAAUUAUUUGAAGUAAAUUGAAUACAAAUGUUUUGGGACACCUGUAUAGUACUUACAUCAUGUGAGUGCGAUAGUUUGUAGUUAGUAUUACUACGCUAAGGUGCGGCGGUGGUCGGUCCCGGACUAAACAGUUCUAAACAGUUGUUAUUGUUGUAGAUGAGCGUCGGUUAGCGGAUAGUUAUCGUAUACACAUAGGCGCCAAUGAUCACGGCGAGUGAGAGCGAGAAAUCAGACAGCGAAGACACAGUACCUCUUCUCAACAACAACAGUAUUAGUUAACCCAGUUAUUUGAACAAUAUAAUUAAGUAUAUUGAAAUAUAUGUUGUUUGUAGAAAUAUUAUAACUGAAAUUCUUCGUUUCUGUACAAACUGCGUUCUCUGAAUUGUAAUUUUAUUAUGAAUUAACGUCCAGUGUCGUUAUAGUAUACUGGGACGUUAUUGCAUAAUUAUAAAUUAAGUUUGAGUAAAUAAUAAUUUUAUAAAGCUGAUUUAUGUGCUAAUGUUUUUAAUUUUAAUGUAUGACAAUAUACCUAAUUUAUUUAAAAAGUGCAGGACACGACAUAAUUAAGUGCACGUAAUGAACUAGAUAGGUUGCAUGGAUCGUGAGCUCGAUAUAAAUGGAAUACAUAUAUUACUAGAAAGCAUGCUUAUUCCUCCAGCAUGCUCUGUGGUCUCCAUAUGUUUUCAAUUAUGAUUUUUUCGUACUCAUUCUAAUUUUGCAACGAUGCAGCGAUUACUCUUUUAAAGUACUUUUUUUUAAUGACAAAUGUUCUUCACGCGUACCUAAUGCUUAAAAUACUGUUGGAUCCAUACAGUUCAAUACUGUACGCUGUAAGAUAUAAACGUACCGGCUUAAACCAAAUUCUAAUAAACUUGAUUUAAUUGUUG